AAACCAGCUCUAGGCGGCUCUGGGUAGGUUGUCGUUCUGUGAGCUGCGGAACGCAGACUUCGGCUGGACGUGCUUGCGGUGACACCUGCUCCUCUCUGAGAGCUUCAGGUUCUCCGGCCUGCCUUCACUGGUUUGUGUCCAGAGCUGGACUGAUUCUCUCAAUUUGCGGUUUCACCAUGUUGGUCAGGCUGGUCUCAAACUCCUGACUUCAGGUAAUCCACCUGCCUCGGCCUCCCAAAGUGCUGGGAUUACAGGAGUGAGCCACCAUGCCCAGCCCCAGAUCUGUUUUUUUGAAGUUCACAUCAGGGUCUCACUCUGCAUGCUGGAGAGCAAUGGCAUGAUCACGCCUCACUGCAGCCUCGACCUCCUGGGCUCAGGUGAUCCCUCCCACCUCAGCUUCCCAAGUCGCUGGGACUACAGGAUCUUCAGCCUGUUAAACAAGAAAACGAAAAACCCCUUCCAGAAAACAUGGAUGCAUUUGAAAAAGUGAGAACAAAAUUAGAAACACAGCC
This 512-nucleotide small RNA is filed under the name Pongo abelii (Sumatran orangutan). Its description in RNAcentral is "processed transcript". Lineage: Eukaryota; Metazoa; Chordata; Mammalia; Primates; Hominidae. The record is from RNAcentral.